AGGAUAUUAAUUUAAAAAAAAUAAUUAAAUUGCAAUUAAAAAUUAAUAAUUAAAAUUAUUAUAUCUUA
Molecule: transfer RNA, 68 nt
Filed under: Gasteruption sp. M19
Lineage: Eukaryota; Metazoa; Arthropoda; Insecta; Hymenoptera; Gasteruptiidae
Description: tRNA-Ala
Source: RNAcentral